UCUAGCUCCGUUAUUCUUGUCCGUUACUUCCAUUUCCUCACCUCUCCCGCUUUGAGCAAAACGGUGCGGCGUUGUGUGAAGCCUGUGCUUUGUUCCGAGAGUCUAGGGAGAUCUUUAGCUCCUGUCUGCCAGUCCUCGAAGUUCCCAAGGUCGCUUUCGUUCCCUGGCGGGCUUCUUCGGAUUUAGAUAAUGUCCAGUUGGGACUGUUACAAAUAGUGCUGUGAUGUACAUUCUUCUACAUGAUUUUUGUGAAGACAAGAGCAAACUUCUCUUGGGACUAUAUCUAGGAGUGAAACCGUUCGGUUAUAGGCCCCUGGCAGCCACCAUUCUACUUUCUGUCUCUCUGAUGUUGACUUCAAGUACCUCAUGUAAGUGGAAUCAUACAACAUUUGUCUUAUUUCACUUAGUAUAACGUCCUCAAUGUGCAUCCGUAUUGUAGCAUAUUGCAGAAUUUUCUUCCUUUUUAAGGCUGAAUGAUAUUCCGUUGUAUGUAUAGACCACAUUUUGCUUAGCCAUUCUUCUAU
Molecule: long non-coding RNA, 524 nt
Organism: Aethalodelphis obliquidens (Pacific white-sided dolphin)
Lineage: Eukaryota; Metazoa; Chordata; Mammalia; Artiodactyla; Delphinidae
Exons: 3
Source: RefSeq, a predicted model, not a curated record